Molecule: ribosomal RNA, 268 nt
Filed under: uncultured Methanosarcina sp.
Lineage: Archaea; Methanobacteriati; Methanobacteriota; Methanomicrobia; Methanosarcinales; Methanosarcinaceae
Description: partial 16S ribosomal RNA
Rfam family: Archaeal small subunit ribosomal RNA
Source: RNAcentral
CCUACGGGGGGCAGCAGGCGCGAAAACUUUACAAUGCGGGAAACCGUGAUAAGGGGACACCGAGUGCCAGCAUCAUAUGCUGGCUGUCCGGAUGUGUAAAAUACAUCCGUUAGCAAGGGCCGGGCAAGACCGGUGCCAGCCGCCGCGGUAACACCGGCGGCCCGAGUGGUGAUCGUGAUUAUUGGGUCUAAAGGGUCCGUAGCCGGUUUGGUCAGUCCUCCGGGAAAUCUGAUAGCUCAACUAUUAGGCUUUCGGGGGAUACUGCCAG